RNAcentral lists this ribosomal RNA (491 nucleotides) under uncultured bacterium. Its description in RNAcentral is "partial 16S ribosomal RNA". It matches the Rfam family "Bacterial small subunit ribosomal RNA", at positions 29 to 506 of the family's 1533-position model. The record is from RNAcentral.
AGUGAACGCUGGCGGUAGGCCUAACACAUGCAAGUCGAACGGCAGCACAGUAAGAGCUUGCUCUUACGGGUGGCGAGUGGCGGACGGGUGAGGAAUACAUCGGAAUCUACUUUUUCGUGGGGGAUACCGUAGGGAAACUUACGCUAAUACCGCAUACGACCUACGGGUGAAAGCAGGGGAUCUUCGGACCUUGCGCGAUUGAAUGAGCCGAUGUCGGAUUAGCUAGUUGGCGGGGUAAAGGCCCACCAAGGCGACGAUCCGUAGCUGGUCUGAGAGGAUGAUCAGCCACACUGGAACUGAGACACGGUCCAGACUCCUACGGGAGGCAGCAGUGGGGAAUAUUGGACAAUGGGCGCAAGCCUGAUCCAGCCAUACCGCGUGGGUGAAGAAGGCCUUCGGGUUGUAAAGCCCUUUUGUUGGGAAAGAAAAGCAGCAGGUUAAUACCCCGCUGUUCUGACGGUACCCAAAGAAUAAGCACCGGCUAACUUCGU